This is a long non-coding RNA of Sinocyclocheilus grahami, 93 nucleotides long. RefSeq lists it as uncharacterized. The transcript has 3 exons. Lineage: Eukaryota; Metazoa; Chordata; Actinopteri; Cypriniformes; Cyprinidae. The record is from RefSeq and is a predicted model, not a curated record.
AAAUCGCAAAUCAAAUCGCAAUAUGUCAAAAAAAAUUGCAAUUUGAUAUUUUCCCCCAAAUCACACAGCCCUAGUUUGUACCAGAUGUUGUUG